This is a long non-coding RNA of Monopterus albus (swamp eel), 467 nucleotides long. RefSeq lists it as uncharacterized. The record is from RefSeq and is a predicted model, not a curated record. The transcript is spliced from 3 exons. NCBI's taxonomy places the organism in Eukaryota, Metazoa, Chordata, Actinopteri, Synbranchiformes, Synbranchidae.
CAGAGGCAAAAGCCUUUUGGAGGCCUUGGGCUGUCCAAGUGUGUUAAAGACAAUGGUAACACUGUAGGUCAGACAGAAAUGUCAGGAGACAUUUUAUUUUGUGGGGGAGAGUGUGGCACUGUGUGAUUUAUGGGUGUAAAGAUAGUUGCCCCCCAUUUAAUUUUGAACUAGUGUCAUGAAUGGGGCCAAAACCGCUGAGGAACCUACUGUCAAGAGUCUAUUUGGUGCUUGGUCUAGUGUGCGUGUGUGUGUUGUAAAAGAAAGGGGAUUGUUCAUGCCGGUGUGCUCAGCCUCGCCAGCGGGGGCGCUCCAUGCCUUAGGCAUUAGCAGCUGGCGCCAGCCGAAAAAGUAGUCAGUACUCGAUGAACGAAUGCACAGUACAGGCAAAGAGUGCGCUCCUGAAACUGACUACUGUUUUGUAUUUUACAGAUCAAAUAAAUGUGUUGCAUUAAGAGUGAGUAGCCCCU